RNAcentral lists this ribosomal RNA (741 nucleotides) under uncultured archaeon. Its description in RNAcentral is "bacterial SSU rRNA". It matches the Rfam family "Archaeal small subunit ribosomal RNA", at positions 131 to 876 of the family's 1478-position model. The record is from RNAcentral.
CUCGGGAAACUGAGGAUAAUACCCUAUAGGUUACAGACGCUGGAAUGCCCUGUAACCGAAAGUUCCGGCGCCUUAGGAUGGAUCUGCGGCCGAUUAGGUUGUUGUUGGGGUAACGGCCCAACAAGCCGAUAAUCGGUACGGGUUGUGGGAGCAAGAGCCCGGAGUUGGAUUCUGAGACAUGAAUCCAGGCCCUGCGGGACGCAGCAGGCGCGAAAACUUUACAAUGCGGGAAACCGUGAUAAGGGAACCCCGAGUGCCUGUAUAUGCAGGCUGUCCAGGUGUCUAAAAAACACCUGAAGAAAGGGCCGGGCAAGACCGGUGCCAGCCGCCGCGGUAAUACCGGCGGCUCGAGUGGUGGCCACUUUUAUUGGGCUUAAAGCGUUCGUAGCUGGGUUGUUAAGUCUCUUGGGAAAUCUGACGGCUCAACCGUCAGGCGUCCAAGGGAUACUGGCAAUCUUGGAACCGGGAGAGGUGAGAGGUACUUCAGGGGUAGGGGGUGAAAUCUUGUAAUCCUUGAAGGACCACCAGUGGCGAAGGCGUCUCACCAGAACGGACCUGACGGCAAGGGACGAAAGCUAGGGGCACGAACCGGAUUAGAUACCCGGGUAGUCCUAGCCGUAAACGAUACUCGCUAGGUGUCGGCCACGGUGCGACCGUUGCCGGUGCCGUAGGGAAGCCGUGAAGCGAGCCACCUGGGAAGUACGGCCGCAAGGCUGAAACUUAAAGGAAUUGGCGGGGGAG